RNAcentral lists this long non-coding RNA (2478 nucleotides) under Equus caballus (horse). RNAcentral's name for it is "lncRNA (ENSECAG00000059613.1)". The record is from RNAcentral. Lineage: Eukaryota; Metazoa; Chordata; Mammalia; Perissodactyla; Equidae.
GUUCUCCCCUGACCUGUUGGUGCAGGAGUCUGCCCCACCCACUUGAGCACCUAUUUAAUCCAGCUCAGCCAGGGCAGGCAGCCCACCCUAGGGACUGGCCGCAUCCAACAGCAAGCCCUUGGGCAACAUGUGGGUCCACAUAGGCAGGGUGUGUGGGACCUCUGCAGUGGGAAGAACCAGCAGAGGAUUCCAAGGUUUUAAGAGGUGAUGGGACCACAAGACGGAAGGACCCUUUCCAGACACCUAUCAGACUUCAUAUGAGAAAGAAAGAAACUUCUGUUGAGUUUGGAUUCCCCCAAAGCAGGCUCUGAAGGAAGACUCAAAAGCAAGUACUUUACUUGGGAGGUGAUCCCAGGAAGCCCAGUGAUGAAAUGGGGAAGUGACAGUGGAAGAGAGGAAAACCAAUGAACGGGAAGGCCAUGAAGCUGGGACAGGAUGAAGGAGAAAGCAUAGGACUAGAUUAGACUUCCCAGGAGUCUGUGCAUAGACGUCAACUGCCAAGAGCUAAGCAGACCUGAAUAGGGCAAGAGGUCCUGGGGCUGAAACCAUUGAAAUGGCUGAGACAUGCUCCCUGUGAUGUGACUUCACGCCCUGUGACCCACAGUAUUCAAUAAGACCCCAAAACUCAUGCUAUGCUGAGUGUAAUUAGGGUUCCUGUAGAAGCCAGCAGUGAAGUGUUCAAGUCAGCUUAAGGCUGAACCAAAGUGGCCCAUAAGGACUUAAUUCGUGAGACAGAGGAGAUCAGGGAAAAAAUAAGGUCUGGGUUUGCAAAAAUUAUGAGGAGGAUGGAAAUGCAGUUACAGCCUGUGACUGUGAUGUUUGAAUUCGUUCUCACACAGUAGAUAAGUAGAGAAGUAAAACCACCUAGAUGUGUGUUAGUUGGCAUCCUCUGAGAAGGAGAUGCCAAGACACAAUGAAACAUGCGAGAAAUUUGUUAGAAGAAACAUCGGCGACAGAAAAUGAGGAGGGAGCCAGGAGAGGCUGGGAGAAUCAUCAGACCUGGAUGCCCCGAGUGCAGGAGAGAGAGAAGGAAGGAAGACUGUGUGGGUGGAAGUGUCUUAGACAGCAGUGCAAGGAAAGUUUGGCACUGCCACCAGGAAUUCCUCCAGCCAAAGUCACCUGAUAGAGGAUUCCCAUGUCUCCUACAAAUGUGCCUGCCUUGUUAUCUCUGUCACAAAAAAAGGGGAGAAGAAGGUGACUAUGCUUUUUGCUAGUGUCACCAGAUUAACACAAAAAACAUCACCUAGCUGAAAAUAGUGACCCAAGGAGGAAUAUAAAAUACACAUAAACGCACACACCAACACACCCCCCCCCCAUCUUCUUUAUUUUACCCCAGUUUACACCUUCUCUGUGGUUCCGUCACACCAUUGUCCCAGGCUUGUGUAAUUUUCUUGAUGAAAAUGUUUAGUAACAUGCCCAUGUCAAUUUCCUGCUUUUGAUACUGUACUAUAGUUACGUAAGAUGUUGUCACCAGGGGAAGCUGAGUGAAGGUAUGCCUACUAUUUUUGCAACUUCUUGUUAGUCUAUAAUUAUUUUGAAAUUAAAAGUUAAAAAAAAUGUUUAAUACAGAACCCCAAAUAUGAGUAAGGCUACUGGUUUUAAGAACCCACAUAAUAAACAAAAAACGAAAGCCCUAAUUAUGCAGGAGGAUGUUGAAAUAAACGAUUUUGAAGGAAAUGAUGAAAAGUGAAUGCGAUGCCACAAGAACAACAGGCCUAAGGGAAUAUGCUUUUCACCUUCAGAGACAAGACUGCAAACCUAGCAGAGUGGAGAGCUUAACAUAUCCUGGUUUUCCUGCUGCAAGUGGGGUUGAAAAGCACGCGCAGUGGAUUGAAAAUCACAACUAUCCUGCCAAGCGCAGCAGGCUAGCGUUUCCUGGAAUCUGGUCUUAUUUGGAGCCAUACAAGCUGCUGCUUUCUGAAAGGAGGAAACUGAAAACAACAACAAAAGCAGAAUUUCUCUUUUAUUCCCGACUGGAAGAAAGAAAAUCAGGACCAUGAGCUAUCCACCGCUGAUGUCACGUUUGUCUUUAUACGUGACGAUUCCAUUCACCACACCUCUUCUCCGUUGUGUGGAAGCUCCAUCUUACCUCGUCUGCUUCCACCAAGCCAACUCCAUGCCUUUUAUUCAGGCAAAGGCCUAUGUUUACUCAAUUAUUAGGAAUUAAAGAGGUUUAGAACUGUGAGAACAUUUUUAUUGGGUCAGUUUUUUAUUUUAAUUAAUUUUUUAAGCGUGUUUCUCUUGAGACUUUGUUUUUAAUGUUGUGCCUGUACCUCCGUUUCCCCCCAGGCCUGUUACUUAUAUUGUACGUGAUCCUAUAGCAUGGCGAUUUUUAGUAACACCUCUGCCAGGUUACUGUUUCUUGUUGUAAAUUAGCAUUUCCUUGGUUACUAAAAUCAUUCUUUCUUUUGUUUUCUGGCCACUUGUAUAUCUCUCUUUAUAUCCCUGUUGUUGUGACACGCGUGUCAUAACUUUCAC